AGUGGCUGAGAUUUAAAGCGCCGGUCUGUAAAACCGUUUACGGAAUUUUCCCUUUA
This 56-nucleotide transfer RNA is filed under the name Perinereis aibuhitensis. RNAcentral describes it as "tRNA-Tyr". Lineage: Eukaryota; Metazoa; Annelida; Polychaeta; Phyllodocida; Nereididae. The record is from RNAcentral.